This is a non-coding RNA of Bemisia tabaci, 1136 nucleotides long. Lineage: Eukaryota; Metazoa; Arthropoda; Insecta; Hemiptera; Aleyrodidae. The record is from RefSeq and is a predicted model, not a curated record.
ACUUUUGAUCAGCUUUUUGAGGAGAAUCGAAAUACAUAAGUCAGAAGGCAAUCGAUCGUGGUGCAGCUUCCCAUAAGAGGUGUGCGGGGUCCUUUCGUGUGGAAAAAGCAUUCUUUCAAACUCGGAGACAAGGAUUCAGGCAACUGUCUCAAACUUCGAAUUUUCCAUGACAUAAGUAAAAUGAAAAGUUCCUAGUUGUUUCCGAGAUGUAGGAGGCUGUGACUAGUUUUCUCUUUUCAAACUAAUAAAUAUUUUCAGAUAACAACAAUCAUCAAUCAAUCAUCAGAAUCAUUGAUAAGAAACACAGCUAUCAGACAGCUACUUGAGCAGUUGGAGUUAAUCGGAGUUAAUCAUCUAUUGCUAUGAACAUCAAUGAUGUAAAAUGGUGAUUCCGCUAAGGGGCCUAAAUUCGAAAAAAAGUUCAGUUGUGCGAGGAGAAAAAUUCUGAAAGACAGCAGCGGAUAGACUCGCAAGGGUCAUAAUCUAAUUCCAGACAAACAAAAUGAAGAUUUUGGGAAAACAUAUGGCUGCACACGAUCAAGACUGGAAACAAUUUGAAGAAAUAUAACCACACAUAAUGACAAGGCAUAAUCCAAGCCCAGAAAAUGAGAAUGUUAGAUGUCCAUGAAAGGUGCGCGCAAAUACCCUCAGAGUGAAACAUGAUUUAUGUAGACAUGAAAUAAAAAAAUUCUUCGAGUGGAGAAAUUUUCUCCAAGGACACCUCUUCUUGGUUUAAUGGCUCAUACCCCAAUAAUGUGCAAUAUGUUGUUAUGAAAUUGAACAAUGGGUCACUAGCAAGAUAGGAAUUAGAAUGUAGCUGAUGCUACUGGUAGCAUGUUCUAUUUAGUUUGAUCAAUCCAUUCAUCAAACGCAAAUAUAUGACAAGUUAAGCAUAAGAGGGAAAAAUCUGGCUUUGCAUUUGGUUCAGUGGUGAGAAAUGUAAUCUUAAAACAAAAAGUACACAAAUGAUGGAAGGAUGCAAUGGUAGUCAAACGCUGGAAGAAUGAAAUGUUGCACAAUUUUGUAACCAAAUGCAGACAAACAUUUUCGUAGUCAAACGAUGGGAGAAUGAAAUUUUGCACAAUUUUGUAACCAAAUGCAGGCAAAUAUUUACAGAUAAAAUUGAUUUUACAUCA